This 465-nucleotide ribosomal RNA is filed under the name uncultured bacterium. RNAcentral's name for it is "partial 16S ribosomal RNA". It matches the Rfam family "Bacterial small subunit ribosomal RNA", at positions 338 to 795 of the family's 1533-position model. The record is from RNAcentral.
CCUACGGGAGUCAGCAGUGGGGAAUAUUGCGCAAUGGGCGAAAGCCUGACGCAGCGACGCCGCGUGAGGGAUGAAGGUCUUCGGAUCGUAAACCUCUGUCAGCAGGGAAGAACGGUCACUGUGCUAAUCAGCAGUGAAUUGACGGUACCUGCAAAGGAAGCACCGGCAAACUCCGUGCAAGCAGCCGCGGUAAUACGGAGGGUGCGAGCGUUAAUCGGAAUUACUGGGCGUAAAGCGCUCGUAGGCGGGAUGUCAAGGAAAGGGUGAAAUCACCGCGCGCAACGUGGGAACUGCCUUUGAAACUGGCAAACUGGAGUGUGUGAGAGGAUAGUGGAAUUCCAGGUGUAGGAGUGAAAUCCGUAGAUAUCUGGAGGAACAUCAGUGGCGAAGGCGACUAUCUGGCACAUAACUGACGCUGAGGAGCGAAAGCGUGGGUAGCAAACAGGAUUAGAUACCCUUGUAGUC